Molecule: unclassified non-coding RNA, 137 nt
Filed under: soil metagenome
Description: partial internal transcribed spacer 1
Source: RNAcentral
CCUAGAGUUGUAGGCUUGCUGCUAUCUCUUACCCAUGUCUUUUGAGUACCUUACGUUUCCUCGGUGGGUUCGCCCACCGAUUGGACAAACUUAAACCCUUUGCAGUUGAAAUCAGCGUCUGAAAAACUUAAUAGUUA